GCCAGAGUGGUAUUGUGGUUUGAGUGCUAGACUAGGACUCUGAGAAACCAGGGUUUGAAUCCCUGCUCAGCCA
Molecule: non-coding RNA, 73 nt
Organism: Phrynosoma platyrhinos (Desert horned lizard)
Lineage: Eukaryota; Metazoa; Chordata; Lepidosauria; Squamata; Phrynosomatidae
Source: the annotation of a GenBank genome assembly